Amphimedon queenslandica is the source of this 296-nucleotide long non-coding RNA. RefSeq lists it as uncharacterized. The record is from RefSeq and is a predicted model, not a curated record. NCBI's taxonomy places the organism in Eukaryota, Metazoa, Porifera, Demospongiae, Haplosclerida, Niphatidae. The transcript is spliced from 3 exons.
UAUUAACAUUUGGUUUGUUCAUCAUUGAUGCUUUAUUUACUUUCUUUGUUAACGGAAUGCUAAUAUCACAAAUACUAGCAGUAUUGUGCAAUAGAACGUUUGUUGAAGUGAAGAGAUACGGUCGUCCUGUGGGUAAACCAAAGGAAUCUAAAAUGAGUUUAAUUACAGCAGUGUGUGGGCGUGGUCCAAUGUGGCUUUGGUGCCUACCUUUUACUAAAGCAAGAAUACCUGAUCCUAUCCCUCCCUCUGAUAUUGCUCUUAAUCAAUUCGUUGUUUAAUUUAUGAGUUAAUAAUUU